AACGAACGCUGGCGGCAGGCCUAACACAUGCAAGUCGAACGAGAAGCCACCUUCGGGUGGUGGACAGUGGCAGACGGGUGAGUAACGCGUGGGAACGUGCCUUUCGGUUCGGAAUAACCCAGGGAAACUUGGGCUAAUACCGGAUACGCCCUUCGGGGGAAAGAUUCAUCGCCGAAUGAACGGCCCGCGUCGGAUUAGCUAGUUGGUGGGGUAAUGGCUCACCAAGGCGACGAUCCGUAGCUGGUCUGAGAGGAUGACCAGCCACACUGGGACUGAGACACGGCCCAGACUCCUACGGGAGGCAGCAGUGGGGAAUAUUGGACAAUGGGCGAAAGCCUGAUCCAGCCAUGCCGCGUGGGUGAAGAAGGCCUUAGGGUUGUAAACCCCUUUCAGCGGGGAAGAUAAUGACGGUACCCGCAGAAGAAGUCCCGGCUAACUCCGUGCCAGCAGCCGCCGUAACAC
Molecule: ribosomal RNA, 462 nt
Filed under: uncultured bacterium
Lineage: Bacteria
Description: bacterial SSU rRNA
Rfam family: Bacterial small subunit ribosomal RNA
Source: RNAcentral